This 1366-nucleotide ribosomal RNA is filed under the name Herminiimonas glaciei. Its description in RNAcentral is "bacterial SSU rRNA". It matches the Rfam family "Bacterial small subunit ribosomal RNA", at positions 75 to 1442 of the family's 1533-position model. Lineage: Bacteria; Pseudomonadati; Pseudomonadota; Betaproteobacteria; Burkholderiales; Oxalobacteraceae. The record is from RNAcentral.
GGGUGCUUGACCUGGUGGCGAGUGGCGAACGGGUGAGUAAUAUAUCGGAACGUACCCUAGAGUGGGGGAUAACGCAGCGAAAGUUGCGCUAAUACCGCAUACGAUCUACGGAUGAAAGUGGGGGAUCGCAAGACCUCAUGCUCAUGGAGCGGCCGAUAUCUGAUUAGCUAGUUGGUGGGGUAAAAGCCUACCAAGGCAUCGAUCAGUAGCUGGUCUGAGAGGACGACCAGCCACACUGGAACUGAGACACGGUCCAGACUCCUACGGGAGGCAGCAGUGGGGAAUUUUGGACAAUGGGCGCAAGCCUGAUCCAGCAAUGCCGCGUGAGUGAAGAAGGCCUUCGGGUUGUAAAGCUCUUUUGUCAGGGAAGAAACGGUGAGGGCUAAUAUCCUUUGCUAAUGACGGUACCUGAAGAAUAAGCACCGGCUAACUACGUGCCAGCAGCCGCGGUAAUACGUAGGGUGCAAGCGUUAAUCGGAAUUACUGGGCGUAAAGCGUGCGCAGGCGGUUAUGUAAGUCAGAUGUGAAAUCCCCGGGCUCAACCUGGGAAUGGCAUUUGAGACUGCAUGGCUAGAGUGUGUCAGAGGGGGGUAGAAUUCCACGUGUAGCAGUGAAAUGCGUAGAGAUGUGGAGGAAUACCGAUGGCGAAGGCAGCCCCCUGGGAUAACACUGACGCUCAUGCACGAAAGCGUGGGGAGCAAACAGGAUUAGAUACCCUGGUAGUCCACGCCCUAAACGAUGUCUACUAGUUGUCGGGACUUAAUUGUCUUGGUAACGCAGCUAACGCGUGAAGUAGACCGCCUGGGGAGUACGGUCGCAAGAUUAAAACUCAAAGGAAUUGACGGGGACCCGCACAAGCGGUGGAUGAUGUGGAUUAAUUCGAUGCAACGCGAAAAACCUUACCUACCCUUGACAUGUACGGAACCUCUGAGAGAUUAGAGGGUGCUCGAAAGAGAGCCGUAACACAGGUGCUGCAUGGCUGUCGUCAGCUCGUGUCGUGAGAUGUUGGGUUAAGUCCCGCAACGAGCGCAACCCUUGUCAUUAGUUGCUACGAAAGGGCACUCUAAUGAGACUGCCGGUGACAAACCGGAGGAAGGUGGGGAUGACGUCAAGUCCUCAUGGCCCUUAUGGGUAGGGCUUCACACGUCAUACAAUGGUACAUACAGAGGGCCGCCAACCCGCGAGGGGGAGCUAAUCCCAGAAAGUGUAUCGUAGUCCGGAUUGUAGUCUGCAACUCGACUACAUGAAGUUGGAAUCGCUAGUAAUCGCGGAUCAGCAUGUCGCGGUGAAUACGUUCCCGGGUCUUGUACACACCGCCCGUCACACCAUGGGAGCGGGUUUCACCAGAAGUAGGUAGCCUAACCGC